AUGCUCUUCACGUACAUCUCCAUGAUCUGCCGCUGCAUCGCGCUCUGCUCCGCCUCCAUGUCGAUGACGUCGCCGGCGGCCAUGGGAGACUUGAAAACGUCGACCUUCUCCUUGCCAUACGCCGGUCCUCCGUUGGACGUCGGCGUGUCCGGCGCGCCGCAGCACAUCGGCGCCGACACGGUGGCCUCGUGGGCGCCGUCGUGCCGAUGCGGCUUCUCUGUCGCCGCCGAGGAGGAGACAUCGAUCGCCCUGUCGUCGCUGGUCGUGGUGGUCGGCGAGGGAGGAAAAAUGGAGCCGAGUGCACACGGGGGACGGCGCAUCAUCCAUGUCCACUAUGUGUGCUCUUUUCCCGUUGCUUCUUGUCCACACCCUUGCACCGCAAUUCUUGGCCUCGACGGGUCAGCCACGGCCAUCGGGUAG
This 420-nucleotide ribosomal RNA is filed under the name Triticum aestivum (bread wheat). RNAcentral describes it as "partial small subunit ribosomal RNA". Lineage: Eukaryota; Viridiplantae; Streptophyta; Magnoliopsida; Poales; Poaceae. The record is from RNAcentral.